This 71-nucleotide transfer RNA is filed under the name Glycomyces fuscus. RNAcentral describes it as "tRNA-OTHER". Lineage: Bacteria; Bacillati; Actinomycetota; Actinomycetes; Glycomycetales; Glycomycetaceae. The record is from RNAcentral.
GCUCAGGCCGACACAACGGAUCGGAGCUUCUAAUCCGAUGGCCGCAGGUUCGAAUCCUGCCGGGUGCGCCA